AAAAAGAAGAAGAAAGACUUGAAGAAAAGAAAACUUAAAGACACCUAACAAGGUUAGUGAUUUAAGAUGCAAAAUUAGUUUAUUUGUUGUGUUUUUAGCUUGAUUAACUUGUAAAUAAACUUAAAAUGAAAAGAAAUUAAUUGUUGAAGGAUUAAAGCAAAAUUCGUCCAGCCUAUGUAUGGGUGAGAAUUUCAUGAAUUUGAUUAAAUAAAAUAUGUUAGAAAGCUUGA
RNAcentral lists this unclassified non-coding RNA (230 nucleotides) under Hevea brasiliensis (rubber tree). The record is from RNAcentral. Lineage: Eukaryota; Viridiplantae; Streptophyta; Magnoliopsida; Malpighiales; Euphorbiaceae.